This 390-nucleotide ribosomal RNA is filed under the name Dendroxena quadrimaculata. RNAcentral's name for it is "partial large subunit ribosomal RNA". It matches the Rfam family "Eukaryotic large subunit ribosomal RNA", at positions 558 to 918 of the family's 3401-position model. The record is from RNAcentral. Lineage: Eukaryota; Metazoa; Arthropoda; Insecta; Coleoptera; Silphidae.
CCGGACCGGACGGCGGCUGGCGGGCACGUUCUCGGAUAGACUCCGAUUCACGCCUAUCGGCGACGCUAUAGCUUUGGGUAAUCUCAGGACCAGUCUUGAAACACGGACCAAGGAGUCUAGCAUCUGCGCGAGUCAUUGGGACUUGUAAACCUAUUGGCGAAAUGAAAGUAAAGGCCGCCUUGCGCGCGCCUAGGGAAGAUGGGUCGCACCGCGGUGCGGCCCCGCACUCCUGGGGCGUCUCGUGCCCAUUGCGGGCUGAGGCGCACCGAGAGCGCAAAUGCUGGGACCCGAAAGAUGGUGAACCAUGCCUGGUCAGAACGAAGUCAGGGGAAACCCUGGUGGAGGUUCGUAGCGAUUCUGACGUGCAAAUCGAUCGUCGGAACUGGGUAU